This 1449-nucleotide ribosomal RNA is filed under the name uncultured Bordetella sp. Its description in RNAcentral is "partial 16S-23S ribosomal RNA intergenic spacer". It matches the Rfam family "Bacterial small subunit ribosomal RNA". Lineage: Bacteria; Pseudomonadati; Pseudomonadota; Betaproteobacteria; Burkholderiales; Alcaligenaceae. The record is from RNAcentral.
GGUUCGAUUAUGGCUCAGAUUGAACGCUGGCGGGAUGCUUUACACAUGCGUUUGAACUACAGCACGGACUUCGGUCUGUGGCGAGUGGCGAACGGGUGAGUAAUGUAUCGAACGCAGCCUAGUAGCGGGGGAUAACUACGCGAAAGCGGUGAAGUUAAUACCGUACACCGCUCCUGGGGGAAAGCGGGGGACCUCGGCCUCGCACUAUUAGAGUGGCCGAUAUCGGAUUAGCUAGUUGGUGGGGUAACGGCUCACCAAGGCGACGAUCCGUAGCUGGUUUGAGAGGACGACCAGCCACACUGGGGACUGAGAUACGCCUGGAUCACGGAGGCAGGGAAUUUUGGACAAUGGGGAAACCUCUGAUCCAGCCAUCCCGCGUGUGCGAUGAAGGCCUUCGGGUUGUAAAGCACUUUUUGCGGAAAGAAACGGCACGGAUAACACCGUGCAACUGACGGUACCUGCAGAAUAAGCACCGGCUAACCACGUGCCAGCAGCCGCGGCAAUACGUAGGGUGCAAGCGUUAAUCGGAAUUACUGGGCGUAAAGCGUGCGCAGGCGGUUCGGAAAGAAAGAUGUAAACCCAGAGCUUAACUUUGGAACUGCAUUUUUAACUACCGAGCUAGAGUAGGUCAGAGUGAGGUGAUUCAUGUGCAAGAAAUGCGUAGAAGAUACAUGGAGAAAUCACUGAUACGAGCAAACUCCUAGAUAAUCACUUACGCCGUGCAUCAUGGGCGGUGGGGAGCAAACAGGAUUAGAUACUCCUGGUAGUCCACGCCCUAAACGAUGCUGACCAGUUGGUAAUUGGCCUGUAGAAGCGCAGCUAAUGCGUGAAGUUGGACCGCCUGGGGAGUACGGUCGCAAGAUUAAAACUCAAAGGAAUUGACGGGGACCCGCACAAGCGGUGGAUGAUGUGAUUAAUUCGAUGCAACGCGAAAACCUUACCUACCCUUGACAUGUCUGAAUCCUGAAAGAGAUUUGGGAGUGCUCGCAAGAGAACCGGAACACAGGUGCUACACGGCCGUCACCGUAAUGAGAUGUUGGGUUAAGUCCCACAACGAGCGGCAACCUCUUGUCAUUAGUUGCUACGAAAGGGCACUCUACUGUAUCGCCAGUGACAAACCGAGGAAGGUGGGGAUGACGUCAAGUCCUCAUGGCCCUUAUGGGUAGGGCUUCACACGUCAUACAAUGGUCGGGACAGAGGGUCGCCAACCCGCGAGGGGAGCCAAUCCCAGAAACCCGAUCGUAGUCCGGAUCGCGGCAGCUCCGCAACCCGACCGGGUGCAGUCGGAAUCGCUAGUAAUCGCGGAUCAGCAUGUCGCGGGCACGGUUCCCGGUCUUGUACACACCGCCCGUCACACCAUGGGAGUGUUUUACCAGAAGUAGUUAGCCUAACCGUAAGGAGGGUUAUCACUACAGAGAUCCAACAUCAGGGUGAAGUCGUAUCAAGGUA